Molecule: ribosomal RNA, 253 nt
Filed under: uncultured bacterium
Lineage: Bacteria
Description: partial 16S ribosomal RNA
Rfam family: Bacterial small subunit ribosomal RNA
Source: RNAcentral
UACGUAGGGGGCAAGCGUUGUCCGGAAUCAUUGGGCGUAAAGCGCGUGUAGGCGGCUCAGUAAGUCCGCUCUGAAAGCCCGGGGCUUAACCCCGGGAGGCGGGUGGAUACUGCUGAGCUUGAGUCCGGAAGAGGCGAGUGGAAUUCCCGGUGUAGCGGUGAAAUGCGCAGAUAUCGGGAGGAACACCAAUGGCGAAGGCAGCUCGCUGGGACGUGACUGACGCUGAGACGCGAAAGCGUGGGGAGCGAACAGG